Erinaceus europaeus (western European hedgehog) is the source of this 305-nucleotide unclassified non-coding RNA. Its record names the gene 7SK. It matches the Rfam family "7SK RNA". From Rfam's summary of the family: 7SK was discovered as an abundant small nuclear RNA in the mid-70s but a possible function has only recently been suggested. Two independent studies have found that 7SK RNA binds the CDK9/cyclin T complex (known as elongation factor P-TEFb). The record is from Ensembl. Lineage: Eukaryota; Metazoa; Chordata; Mammalia; Eulipotyphla; Erinaceidae.
GGAUGUGGGGGUGAUCUGGCUGUGAUAUCUGUCACCACAUUGAUCACCAGGGUUGAUCUGGCUGAUCUGGCCGGCUAGGCGGGUGUCCCCUUCCUCACUCACAGCUCCAUGUGUGUCCCUCCCGAAGCUGCGCGCUCAGUUGAAGAGGACGGCCUUCCCCAAUAGAGAAGGCCCGGUCUUCAGUCGAGUGUAUCCGAGUAGCUGCGCUCCCCUGCUAGAACCUCCAAACAAGCUCUCAUAAGUCUAAUUCCAUACCAUAGCCUGGGAAAAACACUACUUAGCCACUUCCACAGUUCUACAUUUGU